Molecule: ribosomal RNA, 429 nt
Filed under: bacterium
Lineage: Bacteria
Description: partial 16S ribosomal RNA
Rfam family: Bacterial small subunit ribosomal RNA
Source: RNAcentral
UAGGGAAUCUUCGGCAAUGGGGGCAACCCUGACCGAGCAACGCCGCGUGAGUGAAGAAGGUUUUCGGAUCGUAAAGCUCUGUUGUAAGAGAAGAACGUGUGUGAGAGUGGAAAGUUCACACAGUGACGGUAACUUACCAGAAAGGGACGGCUAACUACGUGCCAGCAGCCGCGGUAAUACGUCGGUCCCGAGCGUUGUCCGGAUUUAUUGGGCGUAAAGCGAGCGCAGGCGGUUUAAUAAGUCUGAAGUUAAAGGCAGUGGCUUAACCAUUGUUCGCUUUGGAAACUGUUAAACUUGAGUGCAGAAGGGGAGAGUGGAAUUCCAUGUGUAGCGGUGAAAUGCGUAGAUAUAUGGAGGAACACCGGUGGAGAAAGCGGCUCUCUGGUCUGUAACUGACGCUGAGGCUCGAAAGCGUGGGGAGCAAACAGG